CCCCUAGUAACUGCGAGUGAAGCGGGAAAAGCUCAAAUUUAAAAUCUGGCGGUCUUUGGCCGUCCGAGUUGUAAUCUAGAGAAGUAAUGCCCGUGCUGGACCGUGUAUAAGUCUCCUGGGAUGGGGCGUCAUAGAGGGUGAGAAUCCCGUCUUUGACACGGACUACCAGUGCAUUGUGGUAUGCUCUCAAAGAGUCGAGUUGUUUGGGAAUGCAGCUCAAAAUGGGUGGUAAAUUCCAUCUAAAGCUAAAUAUUGGCGAGAGACCGAUAGUGAACAAGUACCGUGAGGGAAAGAUGAAAAGAACUUUGGAAAGAGAGUUAAACAGUACGUGAAAUUGCUGAAAGGGAAACGCUUGAAGUCAGUCGCGUUGGCCGGGGAUCAGCCUUGCUUUUGCAUGGUGUACUUUCUGGUUGACGGGUCAGCAUCAAUUUUGACCGCUGGAAAAGGGCCUGGGGAAUGUGGCAGCUUCGGCUGUGUUAUAGCCCCUGGUCACAUACGGCGGUUGGGAUUGAGGAACUCAGCACGCCGCAAGGCCGGGUUUCGACCACGUUCGUGCUUAGGAUGCUGGCAUAAUGGCUUUAAGCGACCCGUCUUGAAACACGGACCAAGGAGUCUAACAUGCCUGCGAGUAUUUGGGUGAAAAACCCGAGUGCGCAAUGAAAGUGAAAGUUGAGAUCCCUGUCGUGGGGAGCAUCGACGCCCGGACCAGAACUUUUGGGACGGAUCCGCGGUGGAGCAUGUAUGUUGGGACCCGAAAGAUGGUGAACUAUGCCUGAAUAGGGUGAAGCCAGAGGAAACUCUGGUGGAGGCUCGUAGCGAUUCUGACGUGCAAAUCGAUCGUCAAAUUUGGGUAUAGGGGCGAAAGACU
This 868-nucleotide ribosomal RNA is filed under the name Agaricus iodosmus. RNAcentral's name for it is "partial large subunit ribosomal RNA". It matches the Rfam family "Eukaryotic large subunit ribosomal RNA", at positions 77 to 932 of the family's 3401-position model. The record is from RNAcentral. Lineage: Eukaryota; Fungi; Basidiomycota; Agaricomycetes; Agaricales; Agaricaceae.